GCCGCUGUGGUGAAAUUGGCAGACGCGAUGGACUCAAAAUCCAUUGGACUAAUCCUCCGUGCCGGUUCGACUCCGGCCAGCGGCACCA
RNAcentral lists this transfer RNA (88 nucleotides) under Bacillota bacterium. RNAcentral describes it as "tRNA-Leu". It matches the Rfam family "tRNA". From Rfam's summary of the family: Transfer RNA (tRNA) molecules are approximately 80 nucleotides in length. Their secondary structure includes four short double-helical elements and three loops (D, anti-codon, and T loops). Further hydrogen bonds mediate the characteristic L-shaped molecular structure. tRNAs have two regions of fundamental functional importance: the anti-codon, which is responsible for specific mRNA codon recognition, and the 3' end, to which the tRNAs corresponding amino acid is attached (by aminoacyl-tRNA synthetases). tRNAs cope with the degeneracy of the genetic code in two manners: having more than one tRNA (with a specific anti-codon) for a particular amino acid; and 'wobble' base-pairing, i.e. permitting non-standard base-pairing at the 3rd anti-codon position. The record is from RNAcentral. RNAcentral also lists the same sequence under 3 other names. Lineage: Bacteria; Bacillati; Bacillota.